Ceratina calcarata is the source of this 1402-nucleotide long non-coding RNA. RefSeq lists it as uncharacterized. The record is from RefSeq and is a predicted model, not a curated record. The transcript has 8 exons. Lineage: Eukaryota; Metazoa; Arthropoda; Insecta; Hymenoptera; Apidae.
AGUUACGAGAGCGAGGGAGCAAAGUUAUGUUCGCUCACUCUCUCUCAUUCUCUCUGCUCUCUCCUUUUCUAAUAUAACCUGUUUUACAAAUGUGAAUAUGGCAAUCCAGUUCUCUUUGGAUACCAAUAGUGCAGAGAGUAGGUCGCUGAGAGUAUGUAAUUCACCGACUGUGCAGUACAGGGUAUUCCUCAAGUUCCGCCAGGCAGGACAUUGAAAGAAAGUGUGUAUAUUGCAAUCUAUGCUUGCACUGCAGUGAUGGCACGCCGGCGUAGGUUCUUUUUGGAUUUUGCAUAAAAAUUUGCCAAAACAGCCGUGGCCAGUCAGCAUUUGACUAAGAUGGAAGGAUAGUUUACCAUGUUUUCUAUUGAUCCAAUGAUCAAAUUGAGGAAGAAUCGCAGAUAUAAGCGGUGCAUUAAUGUCUCGAGUAGAACCUCCGUUGCGUUUAAGUCUUUCUAGUGCGUAAUAUAUAUCAGAGUUAACUUGUAUUUGAAUGUCAAUCGGAAUGCAACGCGAUAAUAAUAGUACGGAAUUCAGUGCAACAGUUCUAUAGCAGGAGUUUCAGCCCAGACUGGUGCACCGUAUAGGACUAUGGAAUUGAAGGUGUUCAUAUAGAGUCUUCGAACGGACUCAGAGGGACCGUUAAGGUUUGGUAGGAUACGGUUAAUAUUGUUGAUAUAUCCUACGAUUUUUGGAAUAAUAUAUUCAAAGUGCACUCUGAAGAAAUUUCAGACUACGGUCAAUCCCUCUGGGUUUAUUAGUAUAGCACAUAAUAGCCGUUUUUUGCGUCGCAAUAUCUAGUCCAAUACGUCUGAUUGCGUUGAAUAUAUUCUGCGCAGCAAUUGAGGCUUUAUUACGGCAACGGAUAAAAUUCCUGGCAGACACUAAAAUAAGUGUAUCGUCAGCGUAGCCCGUUAUAGUAACCCCAGGAGGCAUUGGGAAUUUUUCCAAUGUCGUCUAAAAGACAGAGCGGUCUAUACGCAGAUGGAUCAUUUGGAGGUUUAUUUGGUUUCCUCAACAGUACCAAUUUCGCUCUCUUCCAGCAGGUCGUAGGAAAGAGGGAAUUCAUCAUAGUAUCGAGGAUCACAGGAUCUAGCGAUUCAACUAGCGGUACAGGAGUCGUUGAUUCUUUCUUUGUCGCCCAUUUAUAGGGACGACCCCAUGGAUCGUUGUCAAGAUCAAUUUCAGUCGACCACCAGUUCUGGGGAGGAAGACGCCCAGCUGAGGAGCUUUUGGACAUUGAGGCGUUACAAAUGCUGAUUGUAGUAUAUUUGGAACAGUAGCUAAAAGAGAUAUAGCGAUGGUCUGAGAGCAUUUCGCAUUCAAGGACACGCCAUUGUGAAAUAUUUGGAAAUGCAAGCCAGUUAGUUAAGUUGAUAUCGACAAUAGACGAUCCCUGUGGUCG